UACGAACUGUGCAACCGUUAUUCGGAAUCACUGGGCUUAAAGGGUGCGUAGGCGGCUUGUCAAGUAGGGUGUGAAAGCCCCCGGCUUAACCGGGGAAUUGCGCCCUAAACUGACGAGCUGGAGUGGGACAGGGGUGUGUGGAACUUCCGGUGGAGCGGUGAAAUGUGUUGAUAUCGGAAGGAACGCCGGUGGCGAAAGCGACACACUGGGUCUCAACUGACGCUGAGGCACGAAAGCCAGGGGAGCGAACGGG
RNAcentral lists this ribosomal RNA (253 nucleotides) under uncultured bacterium. Its description in RNAcentral is "partial 16S ribosomal RNA". It matches the Rfam family "Bacterial small subunit ribosomal RNA", at positions 524 to 776 of the family's 1533-position model. The record is from RNAcentral.